GCAGCCGCGGUAAUUCCAGCUCCAAUAGCGUAUAUUAAAGUUGUUGCAGUUAAAAAGCUCGUAGUUGAAUUUUGGGUCUGGCCGGGCAGUCCGCUUUCUGGGUGAGUACUGAUACGAUGUCGGACCUAUCCUUCUGGUGAAUCGGCAUGUCCUUUACUGGGUGUGUCGGGGAACCAGGACCAUUACCUUGAAAAAAUUAGAGUGUUCAAAGCAGGCGCAUGCUCGAAUACAUUAGCAUGGAAUAAUAAAAUAGGACGCGUGGUGCUAUUUUGUUGGUUUCUAGAACCACCGUAAUGAUUAAUAGGGAUAGUUGGGGGCAUUAGUAUUCAAUUGUCAGAGGUGAAAUUCUUGGAUUUAUUGAAGACUAACUUCUGCGAAAGCAUUUGCCAAGGAUGUUUUCAUUAAUCAAGAACGAAAGUUAGGGGAUCGAAGACGAUCAGAUACCGUCGUAGUCUUAACCAUAAACUAUGCCGACUAGGAAUCGGGUGAGUUCAUUUUUACGUCUCGCUCGGCGCCUUAUGGG
This 523-nucleotide ribosomal RNA is filed under the name uncultured Glomeromycotina. RNAcentral's name for it is "SSU rRNA". It matches the Rfam family "Eukaryotic small subunit ribosomal RNA", at positions 570 to 1094 of the family's 1831-position model. The record is from RNAcentral. Lineage: Eukaryota; Fungi; Glomeromycota.